Molecule: small RNA, 520 nt
Filed under: uncultured Glomus
Lineage: Eukaryota; Fungi; Glomeromycota; Glomeromycetes; Glomerales; Glomeraceae
Description: SSU rRNA
Rfam family: Eukaryotic small subunit ribosomal RNA
Source: RNAcentral
AGCAGCCGCGGUAAUUCCAGCUCCAAUAGCGUAUAUUAAAGUUGUUGCAGUUAAAAAGCUCGUAGUUGAAUUUCGGGGUUAGUAGGUUGGUCAUGCCUCUGGUAUGUACUGGUCUCACUGAUUCCUCCUUCCUGAUGAACCGUAAUGCCAUUAAUUUGGUGUUGCGGGGAAUUUGGACUGUUACUUUGAAAAAAUUAGAGUGUUUAAAGCAAGCUAACGCUUGAAUACAUUAGCAUGGAAUAAUGAAAUAGGACGUUCGAUCCUAUUUUGUUGGUUUCUAGGAUUGACGUAAUGAUUAAUAGGGAUAGUUGGGGGCAUUAGUAUUCAAUUGUCAGAGGUGAAAUUCUUGGAUUUAUUGAAGACUAACUACUGCGAAAGCAUUUGCCAAGGAUGUUUUCAUUAAUCAAGAACGAAAGUUAGGGGAUCGAAGACGAUCAGAUACCGUCGUAGUCUUAACCAUAAACUAUGCCGACUAGGGAUCGGAUGAUGUUAAUUUUUUAAUGUACUCAUUCGGCGCCUU